This 72-nucleotide transfer RNA is filed under the name Capra hircus (goat). It matches the Rfam family "tRNA". Rfam says of the family: Transfer RNA (tRNA) molecules are approximately 80 nucleotides in length. Their secondary structure includes four short double-helical elements and three loops (D, anti-codon, and T loops). Further hydrogen bonds mediate the characteristic L-shaped molecular structure. tRNAs have two regions of fundamental functional importance: the anti-codon, which is responsible for specific mRNA codon recognition, and the 3' end, to which the tRNAs corresponding amino acid is attached (by aminoacyl-tRNA synthetases). tRNAs cope with the degeneracy of the genetic code in two manners: having more than one tRNA (with a specific anti-codon) for a particular amino acid; and 'wobble' base-pairing, i.e. permitting non-standard base-pairing at the 3rd anti-codon position. The record is from Rfam by way of RNAcentral. RNAcentral also lists the same sequence under 1 other name. Lineage: Eukaryota; Metazoa; Chordata; Mammalia; Artiodactyla; Bovidae.
UCCCCAGUGUCUCAGAUGGUAAAGAAUCUGCCUUCAAUGCAGGAGACCCAGGUUUGAUCCCUGGGUUAGGAA